GUGCUUCCUUCAGCAGCAUAUUUACUAAAAUUUGAACAAUACAGAGAAUGUUAGUAUGGCUCCUACACAAGACUGACACUUGAAUUUGCAAAGUAUUCCAUAUUUAU
This is a small nuclear RNA of Mastomys coucha (southern multimammate mouse), 107 nucleotides long. NCBI's taxonomy places the organism in Eukaryota, Metazoa, Chordata, Mammalia, Rodentia, Muridae. The record is from RefSeq and is a predicted model, not a curated record.